UGGGGAAUAUUGCGCAAUGGGGGAAACCCUGACGCAGCGACGCCGCGUGCGGGAUGAAGGCCUUCGGGUUGUAAACCGCUUUUGAUUGGGAGCAAGCUUUCGGGUGAGUGUACCUUUCGAAUAAGCGCCGGCUAACUACGUGCCAGCAGCCGCGGUAAUACGUAGGGCGCAAGCGUUAUCCGGAAUUAUUGGGCGUAAAGAGCUUGUAGGCGGUUCGUCGCGUCUGGUGUGAAAGCCCAUCGCUUAACGGUGGGUUUGCGCCGGGUACGGGCGGGCUAGAGUGCAGUAGGGGAGACUGGAAUUCCCGGUGUAACGGUGAAAUGCGUAGAUAUAUGGAGGAACACCGGUGGCGAAAGCGGCUCUCUGGUCUGUAACUGACGCUGAGGCUCGAAAGCGUGGGGAGCGAACAGG
RNAcentral lists this ribosomal RNA (411 nucleotides) under Bacteroidota bacterium. RNAcentral's name for it is "Bacteroidetes bacterium partial 16S ribosomal RNA". It matches the Rfam family "Bacterial small subunit ribosomal RNA", at positions 355 to 776 of the family's 1533-position model. Lineage: Bacteria; Pseudomonadati; Bacteroidota. The record is from RNAcentral.